CCUACGGGAGGCAGCAGUGAGGAAUAUUGGUCAAUGGCCGAGAGGCUGAACCAGCCAAGUCGCGUGAGGGAAGACGGCCCUACGGGUUGUAAACCUCUUUUGUCGGGGAGCAAAGCGAACCACGUGUGGUUCAUUGAGAGUACCCGAAGAAAAAGCAUCGGCUAACUCCGUGCCAGCAGCCGCGGUAAUACGGAGGAUGCGAGCGUUAUCCGGAUUUAUUGGGUUUAAAGGGAGCGUAGGUGGAUUGUUAAGUCAGUUGUGAAAGUUUGCGGCUCAACCGUAAAAUUGCAGUUGAAACUGGCAGUCUUGAGUACAGUAGAGGUGGGCGGAAUUCGUGGUGUAGCGGUGAAAUGCUUAGAUAUCACGAAGAACUCCGAUUGCGAAGGCAGCUUACCAAGCUACUUCUGACGUUGAGGCACGAAAGCGUGGGGAGCAAACAGGAUUAGAUACCCUUGUAGUC
RNAcentral lists this ribosomal RNA (460 nucleotides) under uncultured bacterium. RNAcentral describes it as "partial 16S ribosomal RNA". It matches the Rfam family "Bacterial small subunit ribosomal RNA", at positions 338 to 795 of the family's 1533-position model. The record is from RNAcentral.